RNAcentral lists this ribosomal RNA (497 nucleotides) under uncultured bacterium. RNAcentral's name for it is "partial 16S ribosomal RNA". It matches the Rfam family "Bacterial small subunit ribosomal RNA", at positions 28 to 507 of the family's 1533-position model. The record is from RNAcentral.
GAUGAACGCUGGCGGCGUGCCUAAUACAUGCAAGUCGAGCGAACAGACGAGGAGCUUGCUCCUCUGACGUUAGCGGCGGACGGGUGAGUAACACGUGGAUAACCUACCUAUAAGACUGGGAUAACUUCGGGAAACCGGAGCUAAUACCGGAUAAUAUAUUGAACCGCAUGGUUCAAUAUUGAAAGACGGUUUUGUUGUCACUUAUAGAUGGAUCCGCGCCGCAUUAGCUAGUUGGUAAGGUAACGGCUUACCAAGGCAACGAUGCGUAGCCGACCUGAGAGGGUGAUCGGCCACACUGGAACUGAGACACGGUCCAGACUCCUACGGGAGGCAGCAGUAGGGAAUCUUCCGCAAUGGGCGAAAGCCUGACGGAGCAACGCCGCGUGAGUGAUGAAGGUCUUCGGAUCGUAAAACUCUGUUAUUAGGGAAGAACAAAUGUGUAAGUAACUAUGCACGUCUUGACGGUACCUAAUCAGAAAGCCACGGCUAACUACGUG